Molecule: ribosomal RNA, 253 nt
Filed under: uncultured bacterium
Lineage: Bacteria
Description: partial 16S ribosomal RNA
Rfam family: Bacterial small subunit ribosomal RNA
Source: RNAcentral
UACGGAGGGUGCAAACGUUGCUCGGAAUCAUUGGGCGUAAAGCGCACGUAGGCGGCCCGCUAAGUCGGAUGUGAAAUCCCUCGGCUCAACCGAGGACGUGCAUUCGAUACUGUCUGGCUUGAGACCGGAAGAGGUAAGUGGAACUGCGAGUGUAGAGGUGAAAUUCGUAGAUAUUCGCAAGAACACCCGUGGCUAAGGCGGCUCUCUAGUACGGUACUGACGCUGAGACGCGAAAGCGUGGGUAGCAAACAGG